This is a non-coding RNA of Phascolarctos cinereus (koala), 893 nucleotides long. The record is from RefSeq and is a predicted model, not a curated record. Lineage: Eukaryota; Metazoa; Chordata; Mammalia; Diprotodontia; Phascolarctidae.
GAUCUUCUUGAGCAGCUCCUGCUUAUUUUGAUCUUCUCUGUUGGAUGUUGCUUCACUGACUGGUUAUAGUUACUUCUCAUUCCAGCUUUAAGGUCAGGCAACACGGUUCAGCUACUGCUAUGCACUUGGAGAAACACCUGGAGGCAACACCCUAGGACCAGAAGGAAUCUUGAUUCUGCGGCUUGCUACACCCAGACUGGUAUCUUAUCUCUGGCUGCCAGGCUCUCACCUCCUCUUGCCAACUCACUGGACUCACAGUGAGACUCUCUAGCGUUUUUAGCCUCAUUUCUUUUAAACUCAGUCUCUUCAUUUGUCUACAGCAGAGGCAAACCUAUGUGACUGUCGAAAGAAGCCAUUGCCAAGGAAAAAGAUUUGACCCCACCCCCACCCCAGAGCUGAUUGGCUUGCUUUUAUACAGACCCAAGGGGCAUGGCUGAUCUUCUCAGUCAAUCACUACAUCAGGGAUUCUUAAUCUGAGAGUCCAAAGAUUCCUAAGGGAAUCAGAACAGGAGGACAUGCUUAAAGAAGUACUCAGAUUAGUUUCAACGUUUCUUCAUGGUUUUACACAGUCAGCAUCUGAAAUUGUUUUUUUUUAGGUAACCAUAAGACUACUUCUAUAGAAAAUGGAAGAUCAGCAUUAUCAUUCCCAUUCUGCGGAUGAAGAAACAGACAUAGCUCUAUCUCUAUGGCUUGCCUGAAGCUUGUUGGCGCGGCUACUGACUUAAGUGACCUUGGAUAUGUUCAUGUCUCAAAGAGUCUAUAACAUGAUGACGCGAAAGCUGCUUCUUCUCCUGAAGGGGAUGCUGGGAUGACAUUUAUGAAAUGCUUGAACUCUAAGGAUGAAAAAGCCUUUGUUAUCUUUUCUGUAGGAAAAAAAAAGUAUUAUACCUGAA